Molecule: ribosomal RNA, 634 nt
Filed under: Arthrobacter sp. Se1Pt_1539
Lineage: Bacteria; Bacillati; Actinomycetota; Actinomycetes; Micrococcales; Micrococcaceae
Description: bacterial SSU rRNA
Rfam family: Bacterial small subunit ribosomal RNA
Source: RNAcentral
CCUGAUGCAGCGACGCCGCGUGAGGGAUGACGGCCUUCGGGUUGUAAACCUCUUUCAGUAGGGAAGAAGCGAAAGUGACGGUACCUGCAGAAGAAGCGCCGGCUAACUACGUGCCAGCAGCCGCGGUAAUACGUAGGGCGCAAGCGUUAUCCGGAAUUAUUGGGCGUAAAGAGCUCGUAGGCGGUUUGUCGCGUCUGCCGUGAAAGUCCGGGGCUCAACUCCGGAUCUGCGGUGGGUACGGGCAGACUAGAGUGAUGUAGGGGAGACUGGAAUUCCUGGUGUAGCGGUGAAAUGCGCAGAUAUCAGGAGGAACACCGAUGGCGAAGGCAGGUCUCUGGGCAUUAACUGACGCUGAGGAGCGAAAGCAUGGGGAGCGAACAGGAUUAGAUACCCUGGUAGUCCAUGCCGUAAACGUUGGGCACUAGGUGUGGGGGACAUUCCACGUUUUCCGCGCCGUAGCUAACGCAUUAAGUGCCCCGCCUGGGGAGUACGGCCGCAAGGCUAAAACUCAAAGGAAUUGACGGGGGCCCGCACAAGCGGCGGAGCAUGCGGAUUAAUUCGAUGCAACGCGAAGAACCUUACCAAGGCUUGACAUGAACCGGAAACACCUGGAAACAGGUGCCCCGCUUGCGGU